Molecule: non-coding RNA, 1076 nt
Organism: Cicer arietinum (chickpea)
Lineage: Eukaryota; Viridiplantae; Streptophyta; Magnoliopsida; Fabales; Fabaceae
Source: RefSeq, a predicted model, not a curated record
UGCCUUGUUGGUUAGUUUCAAUUUCAAUGGCAGGUUCUUUUUCUUCAAGAAAAUAUUGAAAACACAUCAGAUUUCUCAUCUAACUUGUGUGAACGUUGUUGUCCCGCACUGGGUUCUCUGUUGCAAGACUAUGUUUCCAUCAAUGUUUUUCGCUUGCUAGGAUGCCUUAAUGUGAAAGCUAGUUGUUGCCUUAAGCAUAGAUGGAUAAUUUGAUAUGUUGUGCUUUGAUGAUCUUAGUCCCUUUGCAACUGCAAUAUGAGGUGACUGGAGGUAUGCUAGCUCUUAGCCUUAUGACAAAGUUAUAUUUCUCGUGUUAUGUAGCUAGUUGGUUUACGCAUGGGAAUUGGAGGAUUAGCCUAUCUAUUAUUGUUGGAUUGUUUUGGCUGGUAUUUGGGUAGUAUAAAUAUUCUCUCAGUGGAAUCACAAAGGGAACUAUGUUUGGUGUUGAGUGGAUGGGAUAAUGACUGUACUAGUGUGUUUUUCUUUAUGCGAUGUAAUUACACUUGCUACCAAUUACCUCAAGCGCUGGCCAAUUCACGAUGCUGUUGUACAACAGCAGUUCUAUAAUUUGUUGGAAAAAGAGGACCUUUAUGACCUUGAUCAUGAAGAGGACAUAUUAACACCCUUUUUAUGAUUUUUUUUGUUUGUAUGAAAUUAAUCAACGGUUAAGUAAUUGGUAUUUGGCUAUUUGCAGAAGACGCUGUAAGGCAUUGUUAGCAAUAUUAUAGAAGUAGAAUUAGAUGAGACCAGGUGAAGAAAGAGAAGAAUAACUCUAGCCUUCUAUCUUCUAACAACUCAACUCAUUAGAUGCAAGUCUUAAAUUUAGUAACUGAAUACAAGUGAGCUCUUAUAAGUUAUAAGUGGGUACAUACAACAAUUGCAAUUGGAGAAUUGAUUAUGUAAGUGUUACAACCUCUCAAUUAUGCAACAUAUGAACUUGUUGUGAUGGCAGUUCUUUUGGACAAUUAUUCCUAUGUAUAGCAUAAAUGUUUCUUGCAUAUGUACAUUCUUGUAUUCAGUUUGCAAUUUCAGUCCCAAAUCAUCUCAGUUUGCGAUUUCUGUUCUUGUUUUGGUCA